UACGUAGGGGGCAAGCGUUGUCCGGAUUUAUUGGGCGUAAAGAGCGUGUAGGCGGCCAGACAGGUCCACUGUGAAAACUCGAGGCUCAACCUCGAGAGGUCGGUGGAAACCGUCUGGCUAGAGUCCGGAAGAGGAGAGUGGAAUUCCCGGUGUAGCGGUGAAAUGCGCAGAUAUCAGGAAGAACACCCGUGGCGAAAGCGGCUCUCUGGAACGGUACUGACGCUGAGACGCGAAAGCGUGGGGAGCGAACAGG
Molecule: ribosomal RNA, 253 nt
Filed under: uncultured bacterium
Lineage: Bacteria
Description: partial 16S ribosomal RNA
Rfam family: Bacterial small subunit ribosomal RNA
Source: RNAcentral